Molecule: ribosomal RNA, 253 nt
Filed under: uncultured bacterium
Lineage: Bacteria
Description: partial 16S ribosomal RNA
Rfam family: Bacterial small subunit ribosomal RNA
Source: RNAcentral
UACAGAGGUCUCAAGCGUUGUUCGGAAUCACUGGGCGUAAAGGGUGCGUAGGCCGCACGGUAAGUCAGAGGUGAAAUCCCGGAGCUCAACUCCGGAAUGGCCUCCGAUACUGCCGUGCUCGAGGACUGGAGAGGAGUCUGGAAUUCACAGUGGAGCAGUGAAAUGCGUGGAUAUUGUGAGGAACACUAGUGGCGAAGGCGAGACUCUGGACAGUUCCUGACGCUGAGGCGCGACAGCGUGGGGAGCAAACAGG